GGUCCCAUAACUUAAUUGGUUAAAGUAACAAACUCAUAAUUUGGAGAGUGUAGGUUCAAGUCCUACUGGGACCA
RNAcentral lists this transfer RNA (74 nucleotides) under Crassvirales sp. RNAcentral's name for it is "tRNA-Met". It matches the Rfam family "tRNA". Rfam says of the family: Transfer RNA (tRNA) molecules are approximately 80 nucleotides in length. Their secondary structure includes four short double-helical elements and three loops (D, anti-codon, and T loops). Further hydrogen bonds mediate the characteristic L-shaped molecular structure. tRNAs have two regions of fundamental functional importance: the anti-codon, which is responsible for specific mRNA codon recognition, and the 3' end, to which the tRNAs corresponding amino acid is attached (by aminoacyl-tRNA synthetases). tRNAs cope with the degeneracy of the genetic code in two manners: having more than one tRNA (with a specific anti-codon) for a particular amino acid; and 'wobble' base-pairing, i.e. permitting non-standard base-pairing at the 3rd anti-codon position. The record is from RNAcentral. Lineage: Duplodnaviria; Heunggongvirae; Uroviricota; Caudoviricetes; Crassvirales.